This 439-nucleotide ribosomal RNA is filed under the name uncultured bacterium. RNAcentral describes it as "partial 16S ribosomal RNA". It matches the Rfam family "Bacterial small subunit ribosomal RNA", at positions 339 to 795 of the family's 1533-position model. The record is from RNAcentral.
CUACGGGGGGCACCAGUGGGGAAUAUUGCACAAUGGGGGAAACCCUGAUGCAGCAACGCCGCGUGGAGGAUGACGCAUUUCGGUGUGUAAACUCCUUUUAUAUCCCAAGAUAAUGACGGUAGGAUAUGAAUAAGCACCGGCUAACUCCGUGCCAGCAGCCGCGGUAAUACGGAGGGUGCAAGCGUUACUCGGAAUCACUGGGCGUAAAGGGCGCGUAGGCGGGUUGUCAAGUCUUGAGUGAAAUCCAACGGCUCAACCGUUGAACUGCUUGAGAAACUGGCAGCCUAGAGUAAGGGAGAGGUAGAUGGAAUUGGUGGUGUAGGGGUAAAAUCCGUAGAGAUCACCAGGAAUACCCAUUGCGAAGGCGAUCUGCUGGAACUUUACUGACGCUGAGGCGCGAAAGCGUGGGGAGCAAACAGGAUUAGAUACCCCGGUAGUC